Molecule: long non-coding RNA, 534 nt
Organism: Rana temporaria (common frog)
Lineage: Eukaryota; Metazoa; Chordata; Amphibia; Anura; Ranidae
Exons: 4
Source: RefSeq, a predicted model, not a curated record
UCUGAACGCUGACGCCAAAGUAAAUAUUAUGUGUACAUUCAUGCAAAUCCUACAAGCAGCCAUCUCCUGUAUGGACACACCUCCUCCCCUCAUCCUAUAUAAUUCUGAACCCGGCCAUACCUGAUACAGGACCCGCUGACUACUACUACCCCACACAGGACUCGUCCUUUCUCUUUGUUACAACAACUGAUAAACUCUUGGUGAUCAUGGGGCCGUCCUCUGGAUUCCUGAUGGUAUUGAUUGGCGUUUCCUUCAUACUAACACAUGCUGGACCAGUCCCUGACACUAACACUGACAGUGAGUGCCCACCGGAUCAAAUAUAUUAUGAAUGUGGAAGUCCCUGUUCCAUGAUGUGUGAAAAAAUUAAACUAGGCGAAAUGUGCAUCGAUCAGUGUAAGAUUGGCUGUUUCUGUAAGCCUGGAUUCACAUUUGAGGGGAGUAACAAGACCACGUGUGUCCCCUGUAACUCAACAGGUUAAAGCGCGGACCCUCCCUCUGAGAACCUGCGAUACGGAGAAGAUUACAGGAAGCUAA